AUAAAUCAAAGUUAAAAAUAAAUUCUAAUAAUCUUUUUUUGAUAAAAAUAAAAUAAAAAAUCCAACAUCCUACUACCCAUGAACUUGAAACCUUGAAAAAUAAAAGUUUAUCGAGCAAAAAAAGAAGAAAUCGUGAAGUUCGUGCAGAGACAAUAAAUCGAAACGUAAAUUAUCAGAAAUGGUAUUACGUAUAGCGUAUAUAUAUUUCAAUAAACACAAAACAAAACGGAAUAUUUAAGCCUUAAGAAGACAGAAUGUGUGUGUGCUGGAGAAACCUGUGUGGCAGCUUCACCAUAAUUACGUAGAGCGACUAUUCAUUAAGAUCGUUGAUCCUCUAUAUUUAUUGUUUGCGUUUUGUUUAUUUUCAACAAAUUAUCAUUCCAAUAUUAAAUCGAUGAUGAAAAUUAGCUGGAGAUUCAAGCCUCAAGUUUUACAUUUUAUAUUUAAUAUGUAAGUGAAAUGUAGUGAUGAUCCGUCGCGUUCAAUAUUUUCUUUAUACACACAGAAUACGCUUUUUCAAUCGUACCUUGCGUGUGCUAUUAAAGAAACUUACCAAGACAAGUUAAGUAAGAGAACAUGCCUUACUCGUAACAUAUCGAGCAACUCAAGAGCAUGCAUGCUCAUCCUACAGGAUAAACGGUACGCCACCAUUAAUAACAUUAUGCGCAUUCAUGUCAGUCGAGUCGAGCAAACGCGUUCAGAUUAUUAAAUUGCCGUUUUACAAGUACGCUUUCAUGAAGUAUAAAGCAAUAACAAACGCAAUCUUCAGACGCAUCCACAACUGUCUGCAUAAUAAACCUCCUGUUAUUUGUUCUUCAAAGUUACCCGCUAUAUUUCUAAUUCCUGGAGAUAACUGUCAUCAGAAAAUAUUAUAAUUAAUAAAUAUUCAUCAGGUAACUGAGUGUAGAUGAAGAAAAAAAUUUACAGGACAAUUAUCAAUGCAUAAACAGGUUGAUAAUGAAUAAUGACAUAUCCUUGAUUCAGUUGAAAUUUAUAGAAUUGUAAAUCCGAGAAAAGACUGACGAUGAUUCUAAUGUGGGCCAGCCACGCGAGCCCAUCAUAACCUCUAGGUCAUCGGCAGGGGGCUAAUCACAUGUUUCUCAGUAACGUCUUGCUCGCUAUUGGAUAUUUGCAUUUCUACGAGUUCUAAUGCCAGCUCGCAAUAAGAAUUAACCCUUGAGAUCUACAUUUAACAUUUACCACUCACAUGCAAGUAUACAUGCAAUCCAGAAUAUAGUCUAUAUAUCUUGAGCGCUCUAGAGUUAUAGAUCUAACUCGGGGAUUCCUGUCGGCGGAAGUGCUCAACCAAUUAUACCAGUCACCAGAAGAUAUCUAUCUAGGUGAUUUUUAUGAGUGAAAAUAUCAGGAAUUGCUCAAGGGUAACUCGUCGCCACCCAUUACAACAAAUUGAAAUUUGUUAAAAGCUGAAAAUUAUCUGGGAAUAGUUAAGUAUCUUCUCAAGAGGAUGCCGACAAAUUCCCGAGCGAGGUACGCAAAUCGUUAACGUAUGGCAUUAAUUAGAUGGCUAAUCAAACGGAACUUAAUUGUUAAAAAAUAAUCUGAUCUAACAAACAAAUAGUCCAAUUUAAUAAAAUAAUGGAAACAACACACACAUAUAGAUAGUUGGCAAUGAAAAUAAAAGCAUCAUCCCUUGGAUUCACUCUUCCGCGACCGAUUCUUUGAAGCUUCCGGCGGAACCCAGCGGUUAUUU
Molecule: long non-coding RNA, 1711 nt
Organism: Cotesia glomerata
Lineage: Eukaryota; Metazoa; Arthropoda; Insecta; Hymenoptera; Braconidae
Exons: 7
Source: RefSeq, a predicted model, not a curated record